RNAcentral lists this long non-coding RNA (2401 nucleotides) under Homo sapiens (human). RNAcentral describes it as "HSALNT0328548". Lineage: Eukaryota; Metazoa; Chordata; Mammalia; Primates; Hominidae. The record is from RNAcentral.
GCACCCCAGCCUGGGCAACAGAGUGAGACUCUGUCUCACUCUGUUGCACAGUUUACAACAACAAAACUAUAGCAUCCAUCACAUAGAGGAGAGACUCCCCAACACACAUAUAAGGAUUACUCUCAGCCCCAGCUCCCUCAAACUUCCUAAGAUCAGCACUGGUAUCUGAUGGUGGCUCCUUGUAAAUCAAACUUAAUGGAGUAUGUGUUAUUUGGUUUAUGUUUAUGUGCAGCCUGCAUAACAACCACUCUGUCAACAUCAUGCAUAUGUUCAUUGUGUUGGUACUAGAAGACUCUAUGACACACACAAGCUGAUGUCAUCUGAUGGGUCUAUUUUAUCUACUUGGCUGUGCAAAUCCUCUUCUGUAGUAUAUGCUUUCUGGUGGACACUAAUAUGGAACACAAAGAUCUUCUCACAUUGCAGCUGCUCCCAUAUAUCCAUUGAUAUAUGCCUCUAACUCCAGACCUUUUUGUCCUUAAUCUUCUAAUCCGGUUAUCUCUUUUCCUUUAGUGCAAUUUUUCCUUAUUUGUUUGUUUUGUUUUUUUUUUUAAGUAAAUAGCUAGGCUUCUAAGCCCUACCACAGAGAGUCAACAGACAAACUGCCCAGGGAAAAGUUAUGACCUCAGGCAAAGUGAAUUUCUACAGCUAAGGCAGAUCCUGAAGAAGCUCACAAAUAAAGGCUGCAUACUCACACAUUCCCUGAAGCUUGACAGUGCCAGCCACCAUACUGUGAGGGAGCUGAAGUAAGCCCACAUGAGGAAGAAUUGAGGUCCCAAGCCAACAGCUGCAGCUAAGAUCCAAGCUCUCAACCAGUACCAGUUCAUCCGUUAUGCACACUAAGAUAUGGAAGCUAAAAGAGGACUAAGAGGAUUCUGGGGAUAUUACAAGAUAUUGCAGACUAUCUUGUUUUCCUGGAAAAGGAUUUUACCUCAGUCGACUGAAUUACUUUUUUCACUGUGUCUUGCCACUCUUCGUGCAUGCAUCAAAGACCCUAAUAUGACUUCUGGUGGCCUGGGACUCCUUGGGAAAACAGAAAAGGGGCCACAAAUCCCAUUUUGGGAACAAUCUGUUUUACUCAUGGAACCCCUGGAAUUAGAGAUACAACUGGAGAAACUGUUCUGUGGAGGCUUUGAGUGGAAGGGUGUGCUUCCCUUUAAGGAAUCAAGCUUGAUUUGCAAAGCCAAUAAAACCCCCUUAAGAAAACUGGCCUCCUACCUGUCUACACAGUCUCUGUACAAGAUUACUGACCUGUGGUGAGCAAAAAAAUGUCACUUUCUAACAGACCUAGGAACUCCAUGCUUCUAAAAUCUCAGGAAGAAAAAAGUUUAUCCAACUCACAGUUAUUUGUAGAUACAAACCCAUGGCUGGGCUUGGUUUUAAAAAGUCCGAUCUGAAAUUCCUUGUGGAACAGAGAGUUCCAUCAAAGCCAAUCAAAAAGGCCUAUAUAGAGGUGAUUAUUCUUGCUUCAUUUUAUGCAAAUAAUCAGGCCAAGUAUACAACUAAAGUUUACUUUGCAAACAGCUAAGUCCUAUCAUAAGUUGUUUUUUAACAAAAUGAGGACUAGAGAGACAGAAAUUAUGUUUCAAAAUUUAUCAUACAUCUGUCAUUGGAUUCAAGUCUCAUUAGUCAUUUUUAAAUUCUUGUCUACAUUUUAAACUAACCAUGCUAAUUCUUGUAAUCCAACCACAUCUCCAGCUGUGGCUCAAACAAAACAGAAAGUGAUAGGUAAUGUAAAAAUCUCGAACAAUGUUCUGGCUGGGCAAUUAUCCUAUAAAUCUUGCUAGGUAGCCUAUAACCCCAAGGUUUUCUUUUUUUGGGAAAGUAAGAUCAAGAAAGUUUAAAAAAGCCUAGCCCCAUACACUCACUUAAAACAGCACAACCCAUCUAAAUGGCUUACAGGUAUCAAAUAAACUCUGUUGUCAUGGUUAUGGCCUAUAGUGCCCCCACUAAUAAUGGUAGUCUUAAUACUCAUAUUUUAACCCUAUAUUCUAAACCUCCUUGUAAAGUUUACUUCUUCUCACCUAGAAACCAUCAAGCUUUAAAUGGUGUGGCAAAAGGAGCUGAAAAUUAAACUGACCUUCUACUGCAUACCCUUAAAUUGACCCAGGAGGAGCCCUAGCUGCUAUUCCCAUGCCACGCCCCUCUCCAGCAGGAAGUAGCCAGAGUAAGUCGACGCCCAAUUCCCCGUAACAGCAGUUAGGAAUUUCAUUCCUGAGGGGGGUGUUUGUUAUAGGAGAUAAAAAUAAAUUAUUUGGGUAGACAGAGUAAAGAGAGUCCCCGGCAGAAUACUUUCCUUCUAACAAAAAGCAGCUCAGAAAUGGCUCCCUUUCUAACCUUGUGAAGUUCAAAGAAAUCAUUUCUCUUCUAACAAAGAACAACCUGAAAGGCUGUAAAAACACAG